This 261-nucleotide small RNA is filed under the name Arabidopsis thaliana (thale cress). RNAcentral describes it as "ATSL050560". The record is from RNAcentral. Lineage: Eukaryota; Viridiplantae; Streptophyta; Magnoliopsida; Brassicales; Brassicaceae.
AAUAAAUACAUCAUUAAUCUAUAAAUUAAAAGUUGAAGAGCUUACAUUAAUUAUUCAGUGGAUACAUGGCAAAUGUUAAAGUGAUGAUGUGUCAAUCAUAUGGAGAGAGUUGGCUAACUUUCAUAUAUAUAAUUAGUAGAUUAAAAACUCACUAAAGAAUAGAACAAGUUUUCUUGUAAUGAGUUUUCAGAGAAAAAUCUUAUUGCUGUAAUUGACAAACCAGUGCAAAUGGUUGACGUAAUUGAAGAAAUUAAAAGAGUU